AAGAAAAAGGACCUCUAAUUUUAGGUCAGAUGUUGGCUAAAAAAAGAAAUUUCAAUAAAUGUAUUUAUAGUCUCUCCCUUGUGUAUAAAUAGGUGUUGUACUCUUUUUUUCACGUUAAAUGAAGAAUUUAUGCUUUAUCCAUAAUAUAAUCAUAAAAGAGUUUUGGAAGACUAAUAAAAAUAAAACAUUUGAAUAAAGUUUAUAUUUAUAGAUAAGAUAUCGUUGAUAUAAUGCGAUUCAUUUUGUGAACAACCUCUCAAACAAAUAAAAAUAUAAUUCUUC
This 282-nucleotide long non-coding RNA is filed under the name Lathyrus oleraceus (garden pea). RNAcentral describes it as "Pisum sativum (pea) long non-coding RNA (PSAT_LNC014041)". Lineage: Eukaryota; Viridiplantae; Streptophyta; Magnoliopsida; Fabales; Fabaceae. The record is from RNAcentral.